UUGCCAUAUGGAGUGAGAAGACUCGAAUUCUAGGUGUAGGAUUCCUCGCUUUCGUGGCAGCAGAUAUGAAUGUUAUAUGUACUGCAGAAAAGAGCAGAGACCGACCUUUUUAUCUGGACAAUAACAUGGUACGACUCAAGGGUUUAUCCUUCAGAAUGGAUUAUUAGAUACAGAUUCUUGGGUCCAGCAUUCACUUGGUGUAAUCAUAGGUGUAAUUUUUGGAGGGGGA
RNAcentral lists this long non-coding RNA (229 nucleotides) under Elaeis guineensis (African oil palm). RNAcentral describes it as "long non-coding RNA (EGUI_LNC004614)". Lineage: Eukaryota; Viridiplantae; Streptophyta; Magnoliopsida; Arecales; Arecaceae. The record is from RNAcentral.